UCUGGUUGAUCCUGCCAGUAGUCAUAUGCUUGUCUCAAAGAUUAAGCCAUGCAUGUCUAAGUACAAACCUUAAUACGGUGAAACCGCGAAUGGCUCAUUAAAUCAGCUAUGGUUCCUUAGAUCGUCUCAUCCUACUCGGAUAACUGUGGAAAAUCUAGAGCUAAUACGUGCUUACAAGCCCUGACCUCACGGGAGGGGCGCAUUUAUUAGAUCAAAACCAAUCGGGGCUUGCCCCGUCUGCUUGGUGACUCUGGAUAACUUUUGUGCUGAUCGCAUGGCCUCUGCGCUGGCGACGUAUCUUUCAAGUGUCUGCCCUAUCAACUUACGAUGGUAGGUGAUAUGCCUACCAUGGUUAUAACGGGUAACGGGGAAUCAGGGUUCGAUUCCGGAGAGGGAGCCUGAGAAACGGCUACCACAUCUAAGGAAGGCAGCAGGCGCGCAAAUUACCCACUCCCGGCACGGGGAGGUAGUGACGAAAAAUAACGAUACGGGACUCUUUUGAGGCCCCGUAAUUGGAAUGAGUACACUUUAAAUCCGUUAACAAGUAUCUAUUGGAGGGCAAGUCUGGUGCCAGCAGCCGCGGUAAUUCCAGCUCCAAUAGCGUAUAUUAAUGUUGCUGCAGUUAAAAAGCUCGUAGUUGGAUCUGAGGACUCGAAUUGGUGGUGCACCAUACGGUGUUACUGCCGAUUCGGCCUACCUAGUCGGUGCUCGCUCUUGGUGUUCUUAAUUGAAUGCCCUGAGUGCCCGGCAAGUUUACUUUGAAAAAAUUAGAGUGCUCAAAGCAGGCCAUUAGCCGGAAUACUUCAGCAUGGAAUAAUGGAAUAGGACUUCGGUUCUAUUUUGUUGGUUUUCGGAACCCGAGGUAAUGAUUAAGAGAGACAGACGGGGGCAUUCGUACUGCGGUGUUAGAGGUGAAAUUCUUGGAUCGCCGCAAGACGAACAACUGCGAAAGCAUUUGCCAAGAAUGUUUUCAUUAAUCAAGAACGAAAGUCAGAGGUUCGAAGACGAUCAGAUACCGUCCUAGUUCUGACCAUAAACGAUGCCAACUGGCGAUCCGAGAUCGUUUGCUUAUUGACCUCUCGGGCAGCCUCCGGGAAACCAAAGUUUUUAGGUUCCGGGGGAAGUAUGGUUGCAAAGCUGGAAACUGUUCAAUUGCAACUCUGCCUGUGACACCAAGUGGUCGGGUUACUUGGUCUGUUCUGGCCCGGAGUCGGUAGGGUUUCCGGCCUUGUGCUCUUUCCUUACUGUUCUCUGUAACGCCGAAGGCGGGGCUUCCACGGUGGGGAAGCGGUUGUACAAAUCCGGCAAAUCCAGCCAAAUGGGUUCCGGACUCUGUCCAACCUGCAACUGGUAACAGCCUCGGCUGGCUAACAUUUGAGCUGGGACUCGCUUGGGAGGAGCGAGGAUAAUAUAAACCUCUAUGUGACUGAGGUGAGGAAUCUGGUUCUCGUAAAAUGGCUGGAGAUCCCGAGCCUGUAAGUCAUAAAUUAGUUCCCCACGAGGGGAGGUGUCGAAUUGAAGCCAGUGCGUGCCCUUACUAGUUUAAGGGAUUGUAUACUUCCUUUGGUGUACCCACCUGGAAGUGCCCAAGGGUCCUAUCCCUGCACUCCAUCCCCGAUUGGAGUCAGGUGACGGCUCCUUACCUCACCAGACGCGGCCGGACCCCGGAAGGGGUCUGGGCCCCGAAGCCUGACGGCGUCGGGGUGCAGGAAGCCUCUAGGCGACCAGCCCAGCC
RNAcentral lists this ribosomal RNA (1735 nucleotides) under Macrostomum lignano. Its description in RNAcentral is "SSU rRNA". The stretch from base 1 to 1191 matches the Rfam family "Eukaryotic small subunit ribosomal RNA". Lineage: Eukaryota; Metazoa; Platyhelminthes; Macrostomidae. The record is from RNAcentral.